GCAUAUCAAUAAGCGGAGGAAAAGAAACCAACAGGGAUUGCCUCAGUAACGGCGAGUGAAGCGGCAACAGCUCAAAUUUGAAAUCUGGCCUCUGGCCCGAGUUGUAAUUUGCAGAGGAUGUUUCUGGCGAGGUGCCUUCCGAGUUCCCUGGAACGGGACGCCAUAGAGGGUGAGAGCCCCGUACGGUUGGUCGCUAAGCCUCUGUGAAACUCCUUCGACGAGUCGAGUAGUUUGGGAAUGCUGCUCUAAAUGGGAGGUGUACGCCUUCUUAAGCUAAAUACCGGCUAGAGACCGAUAGCGCACAAGUAGAGUGAUCGAAAGAUGAAAAGCACUUUGAAAAGAGGGUUAAAAAGUACGUGAAAUUGUUGAAAGGGAAGCGCUCUUGACCAGACUUGCGCCGGUUGAUCAUCCGCCGUUCUCGGUGGUGCACUCUGCCGGCUCAGGCCAGCAUCAGUUCGGUCCGGGGGAUAAAGGCUUCGGGAAUGUGGCUCUCUCCGGGGAGUGUUAUAGCCCGUUGCGUAAUACCCUGGGCUGGACUGAGGUUCGCGCAUCUGCAUGGAUGCUGGCGUAAUGGUUAUCAGUGACCCGUCUUGAAACACGGACCAAGGAGUCGUCUUCGUAUGCGAGUGUUCGGGUGUCAAACCCCUACGCGUAAUGAAAGUGAACGUAGGAGAGAGCUUCGGCGCAUCUCCGACCGAUCCUGAUGUUCUCGGAUGGAUUUGAGUAAGAGCAUACGGGGCCGGACCCGAAAGAAGGUGAACUAUGCCUGUAUAGGGUGAAGCCAGAGGAAACUCUGGUGGAGGCUCGCAGCGGUUCUGACGUGCAAAUCGAUCGUCAAAUAUGGGCAUGGGGGCGAAAGACUAAUCGAACCUUCUAGUAGCUGGUUUCCGCCGA
Molecule: ribosomal RNA, 894 nt
Filed under: Gliomastix murorum
Lineage: Eukaryota; Fungi; Ascomycota; Sordariomycetes; Hypocreales; Bionectriaceae
Description: LSU rRNA
Rfam family: Eukaryotic large subunit ribosomal RNA
Source: RNAcentral